UGCAGUCGACGAUGAACCGCUUUCGGGCGGGGAUUAGUGGCGAACGGGUGAGUAACACGUGGGCAAUCUGCCCUGCACUCUGGGACAAGCCCUGGAAACGGGGUCUAAUACCGGAUAUGACUGUCCAUCGCAUGGUGGAUGGUGUAAAGCUCCGGCGGUGCAGGAUGAGCCCGCGGCCUAUCAGCUUGUUGGUGAGGUAGUGGCUCACCAAGGCGACGACGGGUAGCCGGCCUGAGAGGGCGACCGGCCACACUGGGACUGAGACACGGCCCAGACUCCUACGGGAGGCAGCAGUGGGGAAUAUUGCACAAUGGGCGAAAGCCUGAUGCAGCGACGCCGCGUGAGGGAUGACGGCCUUCGGGUUGUAAACCUCUUUCAGCAGGGAAGAAGCGAAAGUGACGGUACCUGCAGAAGAAGCGCCGGCUAACUACGUGCCAGCAGCCGCGGUAAUACGUAGGGCGCAAGCGUUGUCCGGAAUUAUUGGGCGUAAAGAGCUCGUAGGCGGCUUGUCACGUCGGUUGUGAAAGCCCGGGGCUUAACCCCGGGUCUGCAGUCGAUACGGGCAGGCUAGAGUUCGGUAGGGGAGAUCGGAAUUCCUGGUGUAGCGGUGAAAUGCGCAGAUAUCAGGAGGAACACCGGUGGCGAAGGCGGAUCUCUGGGCCGAUACUGACGCUGAGGAGCGAAAGCGUGGGGAGCGAACAGGAUUAGAUACCCUGGUAGUCCACGCCGUAAACGGUGGGCACUAGGUGUGGGCAACAUUCCACGUUGUCCGUGCCGCAGCUAACGCAUUAAGUGCCCCGCC
RNAcentral lists this ribosomal RNA (802 nucleotides) under Streptomyces sp. RNAcentral describes it as "bacterial SSU rRNA". It matches the Rfam family "Bacterial small subunit ribosomal RNA", at positions 56 to 873 of the family's 1533-position model. Lineage: Bacteria; Bacillati; Actinomycetota; Actinomycetes; Kitasatosporales; Streptomycetaceae. The record is from RNAcentral.